Peromyscus californicus insignis is the source of this 796-nucleotide long non-coding RNA. RefSeq lists it as uncharacterized. The transcript has 2 exons. NCBI's taxonomy places the organism in Eukaryota, Metazoa, Chordata, Mammalia, Rodentia, Cricetidae. The record is from RefSeq and is a predicted model, not a curated record.
GCAGGACGCUGGUUGCCAUAGUGACAUCGCCGCAGACAAACAUGUGUCCUUGCUCGAGGCACAGCACGCGGUGAACCUCGGCGGCCAGCUCUGUCCUCAGGAGGUCCUGCACGGCUACCAGGAUCCCUGGAAAAGGCGGUGAGGAUGUGUCCAAACACGCCGCGCUUCUGAGCAUCCAGUACCUCAUCCCGGUAGAGAUGGUCGAGUUGGGAGCAUCGGCAGCCAAACACCAAAGUCAUGGGGGCGGGUUGCAGCCCUGUGAGAAACAAGACGGUUUGGGGGGGGCCCUUUCUCUGGGGCAGCCUUGGCAACGCCACCUCCAGGCCAGCCUUUUGGGUUGGAGCAACCCCUAUCAUGGCUCUUCAGGGGCAAAUGGGGUGCUUUCACCCAGACCCCGCACACCUCUGAUUUCCAGAAGAAAACAGGCAUUCAGGCAAGAAUCAGGAGGGAAACUCCGCUAGAACCUGCUCUAUCGACUCAAUUCUGUGCCCAUGGCUCAGCCCAUACCUUCCGAAACUUCCAACCAUCCUCUCCCACUCAACCUUCUUUUAUUGACAUCUCUGUGCCUGACCUGAACACCUCAUCAGUUUUUAGACUGGGUCGCCCUAGAUGAGCUCUGAGGUAAUUCUGAAUCUGCCUGGAGCUGUCUUCUGUCUGCAUUCCUGUCCUAUCCCUUCCUUCUUUACCCUCAGUCCAUUCCAGAACCUAUGAUUCGCGGAGGGACCACCAGGAAGGCAAACAACCUGGCCCCAGCCCUUUUCUCCCCUCCCCACCCCAUUAAAUACGUUUCUUUUCA